Molecule: long non-coding RNA, 549 nt
Filed under: Brassica napus (rape)
Lineage: Eukaryota; Viridiplantae; Streptophyta; Magnoliopsida; Brassicales; Brassicaceae
Description: long non-coding RNA (BNAP_LNC000048)
Source: RNAcentral
CAAAGGGGUGUGAAGUUGCAAGAACAUUAUAAGCAUCAGAAGAGAGCACACUGGAAACAAUUCUCUAGGCAAGUGCUAUCCAUUGGAAUGUGAUUAGCAACUAUGUACAGAUGACAAAAUCAAUGAUGUUCUUUGCUGUACGUUUAUUCUGAAAUGGCAAGGAAAACAUUAUAAUCAGCAUCAUAAGGCAUAUAUUUGGAUAUUUCCUUCAAUAAUCAAGAACCAACAAUCUAUAGCAAGCUAAAGGCAUCAUACUAAACCAUAUGUCCAAGCACUACAAAAUAUUAUCCAGUCUACCAUUUCCUUGCUAUCCUCUACCCUUCAACAUGAUCAUAAGGAACCUCAUCAACUAAACGAUCCCAAUUCGUAUACUAACACCAAUAAAACCAACCAAAUCACCCUAAGGUACCUGAAUCUUAUCGGAAAGGUAAGAAGGAUCCGGAAAAUCCGUAACCAUAAGGCCUAGGUCACCACCGCUUCCACCACCUCCCAUCUCGAGAAAAUCCGUAACCAUAAGGCCUAGGUCACUUUCACCAUCGAGGCUAGAAU